UACGGAGGAUGCAAGCGUUAUCCGGAAUUAUUGGGCGUAAAGCGUCCGUAGAUGGUUUUGCCAGUCGGCUGUCAAAGCACAGGACUUAACCCUGUAAAGGCAGUGGAAACUACAAGACUAGAGUGCAGUAGGGGCAGAGGGAAUUCCCAGUGUAGCGGUGAAAUGCGUAGAGAUUGGGAAGAACAUCCGUGGCGAAAGCGCUCUGCUGGACUGCAACUGACAGUGAGGGACGAAAGCUAGGGGAGCGAAUGGG
Molecule: ribosomal RNA, 253 nt
Filed under: uncultured bacterium
Lineage: Bacteria
Description: partial 16S ribosomal RNA
Rfam family: Bacterial small subunit ribosomal RNA
Source: RNAcentral